This 531-nucleotide long non-coding RNA is filed under the name Anas platyrhynchos platyrhynchos (common mallard). Its description in RNAcentral is "lncRNA (ENSAPLG00000029133.1)". Lineage: Eukaryota; Metazoa; Chordata; Aves; Anseriformes; Anatidae. The record is from RNAcentral.
CUUUCCACAUGAUCUGGACUUCAAAUUCGAUUCAAAGGAAAGAAAAAAAAAAAAGCGGUGGGUAAAAGUGCUUGUAAGACUGAAAGUUAUAAUGACAUGCUUUAACCCGUCUUUGAUUUGUGUUUUACAUUGUUGAAUGACGACUGACUUGGAAAGAGGAGUUUAUAUCUUUAUUGCUGAUUUAACCUUCAUUACAUCGCUGUUAUAAUAUAAAGAAAGCCUCAUUUGCUCUUCAGAUUAGAUCAGCUCUUCAGAUCUUUUCUUCCACGAAAGCUGGAAACUAACUGCAAAAUGGAUUAAAGCUUAAAUCCAAUUAAGAAUUUUCAUGGAACAAAGGUUGAUUGCUCAAAUUACACAAUAAACAGUGAAGGAAACGUGAACAACUGGGAUACAGUUUUAAUCUUCUCAGCCCAAUUGGCCAUGUUUUUGCCACAUAUAGAAGAAUAUCUGCAGGUAUGUGAAAUAGAGACAAUUGCAUAUUUUGUGUCAUUAAUGGUAGUUGGCCAGAUGGUUUCUGAGAGGAGACCUUGA